Molecule: transfer RNA, 85 nt
Filed under: Felis catus (domestic cat)
Lineage: Eukaryota; Metazoa; Chordata; Mammalia; Carnivora; Felidae
Rfam family: tRNA
About the family: Transfer RNA (tRNA) molecules are approximately 80 nucleotides in length. Their secondary structure includes four short double-helical elements and three loops (D, anti-codon, and T loops).
Source: Rfam by way of RNAcentral
GCCUGGGUGGCUCAGUCGGUUAAGCAUCCGACUUCGGCUCAGGUCACCAUCUCACGGUUCGUGGGUUCGAGCCCCGCAUCAGGCU